Molecule: long non-coding RNA, 849 nt
Organism: Zingiber officinale
Lineage: Eukaryota; Viridiplantae; Streptophyta; Magnoliopsida; Zingiberales; Zingiberaceae
Exons: 3
Source: RefSeq, a predicted model, not a curated record
UAUUGUCUCCUGUUUUUCACUUUGUACUUACAUUUUGUGUCUUUGCAAUCAGUGGAUGACUUCUAGGUCAGAUAUUAACACGUCAGAUUAUAACUGCUCUUCUCACACAUUCCCCAAAUAGGUACUCAUGCAAGCAAAAAUACAAGAAGCAAUUAUUUCCAUUACUUGUGGCAUAACUACGGUAAUGAAUAUGCUUAUGGAUCGUGAGUUCUCCACAUUCAGUACGUGACCUCACUGAUCUGGGGGUGCAACCCCAUCGUCCAUCCCAAUGACCAAGCAGUAGCAAGGAGAAGGUUCUGAAUGAAUCUCUUUGCCUAGAUCAUCAAGAGGCCAGGAGACGUGUGGAGAUUCUUAUGGCUGAGAAGGUGAAGCUCGAGGAUGAAGCCAACAACUACAGAAAUCUUGCAGCAAAAGCUGGAGUCUGACUAGAAAAGUUUAUCGGAUGCGUACAACAGUCUGGCGCAGUUCAAUUUCCGUCUUGAAUCCACAGUGAAGGUGCUGGGAAAAGGUGAAUAUGUCGAAGCAAUCAAAGCGGAAGUAAGAGAAGCGGCUGAGGAGUGAAGAUGAACUGAAUGAUCUGAGUCGGGCGAGGAUGUUGACUCCUCGAAGGAUUACGCAAUGAAGUGGGCACGAAGAAGGCAAUGACAAGGAGGAUGAAGAUAAAUAGUCAAAAUAAAUUAUUUUGUGUUUCAGACGUGUCAUGUGCUCGAGUUUUAAUGUGAGUUAAUGGUGAAGUGCUCCUUUGAAGACAAAGCUUGGUAUCUCAUGUAAAGUGUGACAUUUGGCUCUCGUCCAAGUUAAGUGGACUUAAAACGGGCAUGCACUUAAAAGUUCUUCCUUGUACACACA